This 496-nucleotide ribosomal RNA is filed under the name uncultured bacterium. RNAcentral's name for it is "partial 16S ribosomal RNA". It matches the Rfam family "Bacterial small subunit ribosomal RNA", at positions 30 to 523 of the family's 1533-position model. The record is from RNAcentral.
AUUGAACGCUGGCGGAAUGCUUUACACAUGCAAGUCGAACGGUAGAGGGGGCAACCCCUCGAGAGUGGCGAACGGGUGAGUAAUAUAUCGGAACGUGCCCAGUCGUGGGGGAUAACGUAGCGAAAGUUACGCUAAUACCGCAUACGAUCUAAGGAUGAAAGCGGGGGAUCGCAAGACCUCGCGCGAUUGGAGCGGCCGAUAUCAGAUUAGGUAGUUGGUGGGGUAAAGGCUCACCAAGCCAACGAUCUGUAGCUGGUCUGAGAGGACGACCAGCCACACUAGAACGGAGACACGGUCCAGACUCCUACGGGAGGCAGCAGUGGGGAAUUUUGGACAAUGGACGCAAGUCUGAUCCAGCCAUUCCGCGUGCAGGAUGAAGGCCCUCGGGUUGUAAACUGCUUUUGUACGGAACGAAAAGGUCUCUCUUAAUACGGGGGGCUCAUGACGGUACCGUAAGAAUAAGCACCGGCUAACUACAUGCCAGCCGCCGCCGUAA